Molecule: long non-coding RNA, 358 nt
Organism: Camponotus floridanus (Florida carpenter ant)
Lineage: Eukaryota; Metazoa; Arthropoda; Insecta; Hymenoptera; Formicidae
Exons: 4
Source: RefSeq, a predicted model, not a curated record
GUUUGACUAGUGACCGUUUCUAUCAAUGUCAGUUAACUUUAAUCUUAACUCAUUCUUUGUCUUUUUCUAAAGGACUCUUAAGUUAAGAUUAAAGUUAAGCGACGUUGAUAGAAACAUAAGCUUGUUUUUUCAUUUCUCAAAAGAGCAAUGUCGUCAUUGAAAUUCAAAUGUGGAUAUUGUAACUGGCUUGUUUGGAGCGAUGAAGAUGGAAAAAUUACACAUAGCUGCUUUGCAAACUGUGAAGAAAUAGUAAUGGACAAAGAUCGAAAUCUCUUUAGAAAUGAACCGUAACAUUCUUACAAAAAUCAUGUAAGGAGCCACAAGCUUCCAGUUCAAAUAGCAACCCACAUAGCAAAAG